AACGCUAGCUACAGGCUUAACACAUGCAAGUCGAGGGGUAACGAGAGGAAAGCUUGCUUUCCUUGUCGACGACCGGCGCACGGGUGAGUAACGCGUAUCCAACCUGCCCCCAACUAGGGAAUAACCUUGCGAAAGUAAGACUAAUACCCUAUAAUUUCCUCAGAUGUCAUCUGACGAGGAAUAAAGAUUUAUCGGUUGUGGAUGGGGAUGCGUCUGAUUAGCUUGUUGGCGGGGUAACGGCCCACCAAGGCAACGAUCAGUAGGGGUUCUGAGAGGAAGGUCCCCCACAUUGGAACUGAGACACGGUCCAAACUCCUACGGGAGGCAGCAGUGAGGAAUAUUGGUCAAUGGGUGGAAGCCUGAACCAGCCAAGUAGCGUGCAGGAUGACGGCCCUAUGGGUUGUAAACUGCUUUUAUACAGGAAUAAAGUUAGCCACGUGUGGUUAUUUGUAGGUACUGUAUGAAUAAGGACCGGCUAAUUCCGUGCCAGCAGCCGCGGUAAUACGGAAGGUCCAGGCGUUAUCCGGAUUUAUUGGGUUUAAAGGGAGCGUAGGCCGUCUGUUAAGCGUGUUGUGAAAUGUAGAUGCUCAACAUCUGAAUUGCAGCGCGAACUGGCAGACUUGAGUGUGCGCAACGUAGGCGGAAUUCGUGGUGUAGCGGUGAAAUGCUUAGAUAUCACGAAGAACUCCGAUUG
This 694-nucleotide ribosomal RNA is filed under the name uncultured bacterium. RNAcentral describes it as "bacterial SSU rRNA". It matches the Rfam family "Bacterial small subunit ribosomal RNA", at positions 32 to 715 of the family's 1533-position model. The record is from RNAcentral.